AAUCAAGUGUCUUAAGGGCAAUUGGUGGAUGCCUUGGCAUGCACAGGCGAUGAAGGACGUGAUACGCUGCGAUAAGCCACGGGGAGGUGCGAAUACCCUUUGAUCCGUGGAUUUCCGAAUGGGGAAACCCACCUAAGAUACUUGGAAAAUCAGAGCGGCAGCGCGGUUUCGACCGGGCUGCCGCUGUGGUUUCCAAGUAUCGCAUUUAGGUAUCUUAAUCCUGAAUACAUAGGGAUAAGAGGCGAACGCGGGGAACUGAAACAUCUAAGUACCCGUAGGAAAGGACAUCAACCGAGACUCCGCUAGUAGUGGCGAGCGAACGCGGACCAGGCCAGUGGCUUGCAUGAGACAAGUGGAACCUUCUGGAAAGGAGGGCCAUAGUGGGUGAUAGCCCCGUACACGUAAUGCGAAUGCAAGUCCUCGAGUAGGGCGGGACACGUGAAAUCCUGUCUGAAAUUGGGGGGACCACCCUCCAAGCCUAAGUACUCGUGCAUGACCGAUAGCGAACUAGUACCGUGAGGGAAAGGUGAAAAGCACCCCGACAAGGGGAGUGAAAGAGUACCUGAAACCGAUUGCCUACAAACAGUGGGAGCCUGAAAUGGUGACCACGU
This 611-nucleotide ribosomal RNA is filed under the name Brucella anthropi. RNAcentral describes it as "Ochrobactrum anthropi (marine sediment metagenome) partial 23S ribosomal RNA". It matches the Rfam family "Bacterial large subunit ribosomal RNA", at positions 1 to 602 of the family's 2925-position model. The record is from RNAcentral. Lineage: Bacteria; Pseudomonadati; Pseudomonadota; Alphaproteobacteria; Hyphomicrobiales; Brucellaceae.